RNAcentral lists this ribosomal RNA (258 nucleotides) under uncultured bacterium. RNAcentral's name for it is "partial 16S ribosomal RNA". It matches the Rfam family "Bacterial small subunit ribosomal RNA", at positions 524 to 776 of the family's 1533-position model. The record is from RNAcentral.
UACGUAGGGGGCAAGCGUUGUCCGGAUUUAUUGGGCGUUAAAGAGCGUGUAGGCGGCCAGGUAGGUCUGCUGUGAAAACUCGGAGGCUUAACCUCGAGCUGUCGGCGGAAACCAUCUGGCUAGAGUCCGGAAGAGGAGAAUGGAAUUCCCGGUGGUAGCGGUGAAAUGCGCAGAUAUCGGGGAAGAACACCCGUGGCGAAGGCGGUUCUCUGGGACGGUACUGACGCUGGAGACGCGAAAGCGUGGGGAGCGAACAGG